RNAcentral lists this ribosomal RNA (484 nucleotides) under uncultured bacterium. Its description in RNAcentral is "bacterial SSU rRNA". It matches the Rfam family "Bacterial small subunit ribosomal RNA", at positions 17 to 518 of the family's 1533-position model. The record is from RNAcentral.
UCCUGGCUUAGGACGAACGCUGGCGGCGUGCUUCAUACAUGCAAGUCGAACGAGAAGCUCACUUCGGUGAGUGGAAAGUGGCGGACGGGUGAGUAAUGUGUAGAGAAUCUGCCCUAGAGUGGGGGAUAGCAGUUGGAAACGACUAUUAAUACCCCAUAUGCGCGUAGCUGAGAUGCUAUUCGUGAAAACUCCGGUGCUCUGGGAUGAGUCUGCAUCUGAUUAGCUAGUUGGCGGUGUAAUGGACCACCAAGGCUACGAUCAGUAGCUGGUUUGAGAGGAUGAUCAGCCACAAUGGGACUGAGACACGGCCCAUACUCCUACGGGAGGCAGCAGUAGGGAAUUUUGCGCAAUGGGGGGAAAAACCCCUGACGCAGCAACGCCGCGUGAAUGAAGAAGCCCUUCGGGGUGUAAAGUUCUGUCAGUGGGGACGAAACUUGACGGUACCCACAGAGGAAGCAUCGGCUAACUCCGUGCCAGCCGCCGC